RNAcentral lists this long non-coding RNA (357 nucleotides) under Brachypodium distachyon (stiff brome). Its description in RNAcentral is "long non-coding RNA (BDIS_LNC002644)". The record is from RNAcentral. Lineage: Eukaryota; Viridiplantae; Streptophyta; Magnoliopsida; Poales; Poaceae.
AUUAGGAAUUUUUCUUUUGAAAACUAACUAAGGUCAGGAGCUAACUAACUAACAGAUCCCGAUGAGCUUUGGUGUUUAUGAACCGGUCGAUGCAGCCGUGAUCAUCCAGCAAAUAUACGAGUAUUUAUGUCGCCGUACGUUCAAACAAAGCAAGAUAUGUAUAUCCCUCAAAAAGAAAAAGAAAAAUAAAAUACGCAAGGGUCAAGGUACAGGCCGUUGCAGCAACAGAUUGGGUUAACUAACCAAUAAACUCGGAUCUAUCUAAACUACCUUACCGUGUGUACGCGGUCGAUAUGUUUGUGCUGUACUUGGUUUUUCGCACAAAAGCUGGAGGCUAGCAAAGGAAGAACAGUCCAA